AUGACUACAGUAUUUAAAAGUAAUGUUUCAGAUUUCAGAUGGACAGAGUUAGGAUCAAGUUUGCCUUUUUUCUAUACCAAGGACUCCAUGAUGACUGACCCCGUAAAGAGCAGACAGAGUUUGUUUCAUUCAAGUGUGAAGAAACGCUCUGGAAUUUUAAGACCAGAGAACACUAAACCAUCUUUUUUAGUUCGUGGCUUUAAAAUACCGAUUAGAACCAGAAGCACAAAGAAGAGUUCUGGACCAGAGCCUCCUCCAGGACUGGACCAGCUCUGUCCCCGCCCCCUCAGUCAGAUGCAGGACUCCAUGAUGACUGACCCCGUAAAGAGCAGACAGAAUUUGUUUCAUCCAGGUGUGAAGAAACGCUCUGGAAUUUUAAGACCAGAGAACACUAAACCAUCUUUUUUAGUUCGUGGCAUUAAAAUACCGAUUAGAACCAGAAGCACAAAGAAGAGUUCUGGACCAGAGCCUCCUCCUAAACAGAGCCAACUCUGUCCCCGCCCCCUCAGUCAGAUACAGACUGGACAACAUGCCAUGCAACAUCAGAGGAACUGCUAGUUCUCCAGAUAUGCAUCUCGCUUAUCGCAGUCCACUGCAUCCUUCAAAGUAAAAGCCAAACUUGCUGUUCACUUGUUACCCAGUUUCAAAUGUUAUAUUUUUUUAAGGAAACAAAGUUCAUUUAAGUCAUUUUUGUAUUUAUUUGUUAUGAAACGUGGUUACACCACAUUGUGCAAAGCUUACAGACAUUAUCACACAUUUUCCUUCAUUAGCUGUAAAGCAGAAUCUUUACAUCACAUCAUUACACAUCUCAAACAGUAAAGUUAAAAAUCCAGUGAUAAAGUGGAACAUCUUAGCAGUCUUUUUUGCAUAACAUCUGGCCUGAGGUAAAAACAAACAAACAAAAAAAAUGUUCUAAAAGUAAAGAUCACAUUUCACCAACUUUUCUAUGUCAAAUUGUGCAAGAGAUUGCAUAGGCACGUCUUACAUUUUCUAAAACAUUUUCUCAGUCCAAAUGCAUUCAGAAUAAUAGCAUUCUGAUUAAACAAAGAAACCUCUUCAGGUAUUUUGACCUACUAAGCGUCCUCACUAGUGUAAAAAAGACAAGGCCACCAUCCUUUAAGGUCUUAAAUAUAUUCUUUUGAGUUUGUCUGACAAUUCCCUGCAUCUGAUCUGCUUAUAGACUGCUAUUGUUUUGAGAUUGGUGCAAACAGCGACGUUGCUCAUCGGCUUGGCUCGUAAAGCUGCAGGUCAAGCUUGACCCACACUUCCCCCGUGGGAACCUCGUGCAGCAGCAGGCGGCGGUUUGCUGCUCCUUUGCUCUCCAUGUCCUUCUUUAUGGUUGCCACGGGAACUUCAGUGCGACCUAGGAAAUCUAGGAAGGGUUUCAAAAAGAAUACAUUCUCAGAAUAAAACAAAACUUUGCUUAAAAAUCUUAAAUGAAGUCUUUUGGGAUCAGUGGUGAUGCCUGAAGUUAGUUUUUAUAAGUACAAAAAGCCUUAAAUGCAGAUUUGCUUUGUUUGUGCGGCACGAACCGUCUGGAGAGAACUGAUCUUUCUCAAACACAGUGAUACACAGGACGUCCUGGUAGAGGUCGUUGAUGAAAAACUGGCAGCUGAAGUUCCACUUGGGGUUCAAAGUAUCACUGGCUGGACGGGACGUGUAGCACUGUGCCCCCAUUGUCAGCUCACAGUAGGGAUUAGUCUUACCUGAGGAAAAGAGUUAUUUUUUCUAUAUUGUCAUAAAAGCUAAAUUAGUUAAUAAUCUUAAAAAAAAGGGGUGUUUUCUCACCGUUUGGCUUACAAGCUUUGAGCUCCUGAGCUUCAAUGACGGUGACCAGCAGCCGACCGAUUCCACUCGUCUUUAGGGAGCGAGCUGCAGAUAUAAAGAGGUUUGAAACACAGGAAUGUUUAAAUAUUGUAUAUAUUUAUAGUCAGAAUAAUAGUGAAUUGCUCCAAAGACCUUUUCUAAAAUGUAGUAUUUCACAAGAACUUCAAAUAUAUUUAAAUAAAUUCCAGGUUCAGAAAAAGGGCAUUUUUAUAAAGAGAAAACAGUCCCCCCCAAUUUGUGUGUUCGUAAUUCUUGAUUUCAAUAUAUUUUGUGCAUGAGUACGACAAUUAUCAUUUUUGAAAAUACAAAAAAGAAUUUACACAUUCAUCCAUUUAGAUUAAAACAGCUUGAAACUAAUUGCAACUAACUGCAAAUCUUUAAAAAUAAUUUGUUUUGGGCAAACAAAAUCACAAUUAUGCACAAAUCUGAUGUGACACUCUUCUCACGUCUCCAAGACUCGUGGGUCAGAGUUUUUGUUUCAGUCGCCUUAAGUUUAGGUUGUGAAUAAUAUCUGGCAAAACUUGUCAUUUUCUCAUACAUUUUUUGAAAAAAAUAAACUCCCCUUUAAAAAAAAAAAGUAUGUGUAUCUUUUCAAAGUGCAAAAAUUUGCAACUUCAGCAUCUUCUUCCUAACUGGGAGCGAGUAUUUAUGGAAGUCUCUGGCUCACCUUGGUAGGCUUUCUCUCUUUUUUUCUUUUCUGUCUCUAUAAAAUGUUCAGAUGCUGCUUUUAUUUUCUGCACCCACGCUGCCCUGCAGGAAAAACAAAGAAACGCAUUCACACCUGUUAGGGUGCAGAACUCCAGGACCGUGCAUUGGUGCAUGAGUGUGUGCGUACCUCUCACUCAGAGUUUCGGUUUUGAGCGUGUAGACGCGAUCGAUGUGUGAGACGUGGAAGACCGGCUCGUCGCUGGAUGGAUCCGGAGGCAUUUUCACCAGAACUUCAUUCAGAAACAAUGGCUGAAGAGAAAAAAAAAUUUUGAUUCUUAAGGAAAUUCUGAAACUUCUGAGCGUGCAUGUCGCUGGCCCUACCGUUUUGUACAUCUUGAGCUGAGCGCUGGUUUUUGGGCUGAACAAUUUGUCCGAUCCCGAGAAAGAGAAAUGUUUAGCGCUGUGGGUGAGGAGCAGGAAAUCGUUGAAGAGGAAAGCCCACAGCUCUCGGGUGCUUUUCGUUUUGUAAAGCCGACCGCUGUGAAGCAGCUUGCGUGGCCCCAGGCAGUUAGUUAAAGAGUUGAAGACCAAAUGCUGAAAGAAAAUUGGAAACAAAACGUUCCUCGUUUGAGCUGAAAAUGCUGAUUCGCUCCUGCUAGCUUCAGGUUCGUGUACCUCAAUCGGCCCUUCACACUGGACGUGGUUCUGCAUCCACUCCAGUCGGUCUGAGUUCUCCUUCUCUCUGACCCCUUCGUUCACCUGAAAGCACAGCUCCUCGGCCCGCUCCAGAGCGUCCCGCAGGGGGGCGUGGUCUGCGUGGCUUUCUGGGGUGUUCUCUAAGAUCUGACCCAAAUUUAAAAGGUGAAUAGAUUCAGCCCGAUAACUAAAAAAAACUAUGAGACAGUCGACCUAUAUCGCUUACAUUUUUAAUCAGCAGAGGGUAGCGAGUGAUUCGCUGCAUGGGCUUGAGGAGGAAGCUGGACAGCGGCAUUCCUUUACAGCGGUAAUUAGUGGCUAUUUUCUGCUCAGAGGAGAGAAAAUGAGAUGUAUAACUUUCCAAAGAAACAUUUUUAAUGUGUGGAUGGAGCUGACUCAUGUGACUCUCACUCGUAGGAAGUCUUUGAAGUCAGGCUGGUUGUUGGUUUUGCUCUGAAGCAGUGCAGCCGCGUUGAGUUGGCAGGAGCAGAAGCAGAUAUAAGGAUGCAUUUGUGCAAGCUCCGACGCCAGCACGUCUCCUAUCAGCUGGAUGGGCAUGUUCUCGCCUUCGGUCUUUUUGCGAGUCCGCAAGGCCCUGAUGAUCAAAAGUAACAAAUUACAAGCAGAAAAAAUAAUUAUGGAGGGAAUGUGAUUUUUUUUUUAGGACGAUAGGUUUAAAAAAUCUGUAGGGAUGAUGGGAACUU
Molecule: long non-coding RNA, 3875 nt
Organism: Oryzias javanicus (javanese ricefish)
Lineage: Eukaryota; Metazoa; Chordata; Actinopteri; Beloniformes; Adrianichthyidae
Source: Ensembl